CGGCGCCCGGCGCCGCCCGGCGCUGCCUGGACUACGAGCAGCCGCCGCAGAACGGCUCGUUGGCGGCGCUGCCCCCGGCCGAGCGCGGCGCGUGCCGCAACUGCCGCAACAACAACAGGUGCUCGGGAAAGCCGCCGGAGCCGCUCAGC
Nothoprocta perdicaria is the source of this 149-nucleotide long non-coding RNA. RefSeq lists it as uncharacterized. The record is from RefSeq and is a predicted model, not a curated record. NCBI's taxonomy places the organism in Eukaryota, Metazoa, Chordata, Aves, Tinamiformes, Tinamidae. The transcript is spliced from 3 exons.